GAGUAUAUGUUUUUUGUUAUUCUGUUUUAGGUUGUGUUGCGUUUUUAUCUAUUAACCGAACUGCGAAAUACGAAUAUCCUUUGCUUUUUAGAGAUCACGUAUACCGCAACUUGAGUGAAAAUGGCAGAGAAAUAUUCUACGCUUUGAACAUACAUCCUUCGUGUGUCGAAAAGAAAGGCCAGUGCAUACGGCGUGCUCAAUGUGUAGAGAAGAAAAUGUUUUACAUUUCUCGGGCGUGCUACCGCCGAGACUUGGUUUGUUGCUAUGAUGACACAAUUAGAUUCCCAACGGUCGAAGGACGCACUUCAACCACGGUAGCUGCCACCAAACUUUGAGAUAAUCAAAUUUAAAUUGGUUCUAA
Bombyx mori (domestic silkworm) is the source of this 361-nucleotide long non-coding RNA. RefSeq lists it as uncharacterized. Lineage: Eukaryota; Metazoa; Arthropoda; Insecta; Lepidoptera; Bombycidae. The record is from RefSeq and is a predicted model, not a curated record. The transcript is spliced from 2 exons.